CGGGAAACUGGGGAUAAUACUCCAUAGAUCUACUAUGCUGGAAUGCUUGUAGGUCCAAAACUCCGGUGCCCAAGGAUUGAUCUGCGGCGUAUCAGGUUGUAGUGGGUGUAACGGACCCACUAGCCAGUGACGCGUAAGGGCCUUGAAAGAGGGAGCCCUGAGAUGGACUCUGAGACAUGAGUCCAGGCCCUCCGGGGCGAGCCAGUCGGAAAAAUUUCCAAUGGGGGAAACCCCGAUGAGGGAAUUCCAAGUGCCAGCACAUUGUGUUGGCUGUUCCCCUGUCUAAAAAACAGGAGAAGUAAGGGCCGGGUAAGACGGGUGCCAGCCGCCGCGGUAAUA
This 339-nucleotide ribosomal RNA is filed under the name uncultured archaeon. RNAcentral's name for it is "partial 16S ribosomal RNA". It matches the Rfam family "Archaeal small subunit ribosomal RNA", at positions 133 to 475 of the family's 1478-position model. The record is from RNAcentral.